Molecule: ribosomal RNA, 639 nt
Filed under: uncultured bacterium
Lineage: Bacteria
Description: bacterial SSU rRNA
Rfam family: Bacterial small subunit ribosomal RNA
Source: RNAcentral
CGCGGCCUAUCAGCUUGUUGGUGGGGUAACGGCCCACCAAGGCAUCGACGGGUAGCUGGUCUGAGAGGACGAUCAGCCACACUGGGACUGAGACACGGCCCAGACUCCUACGGGAGGCAGCAGUGGGGAAUAUUGCGCAAUGGGCGAAAGCCUGACGCAGCAACGCCGCGUGGGGGAUGACGGCCUUCGGGUUGUAAACCCCUUUCAGCAGGGACGAAAAUGUCGGUACCUGCAGGAGAAGCCCCGGCCAACUACGUGCCAGCAGCCGCGGUAACACGUAGGGGGCAAGCGUUGUCCGGAUUUAUUGGGCGUAAAGAGCUCGUAGGCGGUUGCGUAAGUCGGAUGUGAAAACUCAGGGCUCAACCCGGAGACGCCAUCCGAUACUGCGCUGACUAGAGUCCGGUAGAGGAGCAUGGAAUUCCUGGUGUAGCGGUGAAAUGCGCAGAUAUCAGGAGGAACACCAGUGGCGAAGGCGGUGCUCUGGGCCGGUACUGACGCUGAGGAGCGAAAGCGUGGGUAGCGAACAGGAUUAGAUACCCUGGUAGUCCACGCCGUAAACGUUGGGCACUAGGUGUGGGGCCUCCUUAACGGGUUCCGUGCCGUAGCUAACGCAUUAAGUGCCCCGCCUGGGGAGUACGG